This 253-nucleotide ribosomal RNA is filed under the name uncultured bacterium. RNAcentral's name for it is "partial 16S ribosomal RNA". It matches the Rfam family "Bacterial small subunit ribosomal RNA", at positions 524 to 776 of the family's 1533-position model. The record is from RNAcentral.
UACGUAGGGUGCAAACGUUAUCCGGAUUUAUUGGGCGUAAAGAGCUCGUAGGUGGUUUGGAAAGUCGGAUAUGAAAUAUCCCGGCUCAACCGGGAAACUGUAUUCGAAACUUCCUGACUUGAGGUAUGUAGGGGAAGAUGGAACUUGUGGUGUAGCAGUGAAAUGCGUAGAUAUCACAAGGAACGCCAAUGGUGAAGACAGUCUUCUGGACAUUACCUGACACUGAGGAGCGAAAGCGUGGGUAGCGAACGGG